UACGUAGGGUGCAAGCGUUGUCCGGAAUUAUUGGGCGUAAAGAGCUCGUAGGCGGUUUGUUGCGUCGGCUGUGAAAUCCCGAGGCUCAACCUCGGGUCUGCAGUCGAUACGAGCAAACUAGAGUGUUGCAGGGGAGACUGGAAUUCCUGGUGUAGCGGUGAAAUGCGCAGAUAUCUGGAGGAACACCGGUGGCGAAGGCGGCAUCCUGGACCGGUAUUGACACUGAGGCGCGAAAGCCAGGGGAGCAAACGGG
This 253-nucleotide ribosomal RNA is filed under the name uncultured bacterium. RNAcentral's name for it is "partial 16S ribosomal RNA". It matches the Rfam family "Bacterial small subunit ribosomal RNA", at positions 524 to 776 of the family's 1533-position model. The record is from RNAcentral.